UACGAAGGUGGCAAGCGUUGUUCGGAUUUACUGGGCGUACAGGGAGCGUAGGCGGUUGGAUAAGCCCUCCGUGAAAUCUCCAGGCUUAACCUGGAAAGUGCAGAGGGGACUGUUCAGCUAGAGGAUGGGAGAGGAGCGCGGAAUUCCGGGUGUAGCGGUGGAAUGCGUAGAGAUCCGGAAGAACACCGGUGGCGAAGGCGGCCUGCUGGGCAGUAUAGCUGACACUGAGGCGCGACAGCGUGGGGAGCAAACAGG
This 255-nucleotide ribosomal RNA is filed under the name uncultured bacterium. RNAcentral describes it as "partial 16S ribosomal RNA". It matches the Rfam family "Bacterial small subunit ribosomal RNA", at positions 524 to 776 of the family's 1533-position model. The record is from RNAcentral.